Mytilus californianus (California mussel) is the source of this 496-nucleotide long non-coding RNA. RefSeq lists it as uncharacterized. NCBI's taxonomy places the organism in Eukaryota, Metazoa, Mollusca, Bivalvia, Mytilida, Mytilidae. The transcript has 4 exons. The record is from RefSeq and is a predicted model, not a curated record.
CGAUUUUUGUCGAACUACGUCAUACCGGAAGUGAAAGAUACAGCAACACGUAAAAAUGUUACCAGUGAAAACGCAUCUUGACCAGUUUCCAGAGUUAGAUAAAGAUAGAUAUGAUAGCAUCGUUAAGGAGAACGAAGAAAAGGAUUCACAAGAAAUGAAACAUUUGGCAAAUUGCCCCAGGACUGGAAAGGCUAAAGGAGUAAAAUGAAGUACACAAGAAAUUAGAAUUCAGACAUGUGCUGCAGCUAGAAACAGAUAUGGGAAUAUUUUGCAUAUAAAAUCCAGAGAAUGAAUCAAUGGGGAUAGGACAUAUCUUAUUUACUAAAAAGUGUUUCCUGACAUGCCUGAGGAACUUGAAGGCUGUUUGUUAAAGAUAAGAAAACAACUUCAGCAUGCAAGAAAGAAGAAACAUAGUUUGGAAUCAAAUCUUUGACAUUAAUUUAAUUCAUUUUUGUUGCUUAUAUUUAUAUGAAAAUUAAAGUUGACUAAAACAUAA